Molecule: ribosomal RNA, 292 nt
Filed under: uncultured bacterium
Lineage: Bacteria
Description: partial 16S ribosomal RNA
Rfam family: Archaeal small subunit ribosomal RNA
Source: RNAcentral
GUGCCAGCCGCCGCGGUACUACCGGCAGCCCGAGUGAUGGCCGCUAUUAUUGGGCCUAAAGCGUCCGUAGCCGGCCGCGCAAGUCCGUCGGGAAAUCCACCUGCCCAACAGGUGGGCGUCCGGCGGAAACUGUGUGGCUUGGAACCGGAAGGCUCAGAGGGUACGUCCGGGGUAGGAGUGAAAUCCUAUAAUCCCGCACGGACCACCGAUGGCGAAAGCACUUCGAGAAAACGGAUCCGACAGUGAGGGACGAAAGCCAGGGUCUCCAACCGGAUUAGAAACCCUGGAGUCC